Molecule: ribosomal RNA, 468 nt
Filed under: uncultured bacterium
Lineage: Bacteria
Description: partial 16S ribosomal RNA
Rfam family: Bacterial small subunit ribosomal RNA
Source: RNAcentral
GACGAACGCUGGCGGCGUGCUUAACACAUGCAAGUCGAACGGAAAGGCCCUGCUUUUGUGGGGUGCUCGAGUGGCGAACGGGUGAGUAACACGUGAGUAACCUGCCCUUGACUUUGGGAUAACUUCAGGAAACUGGGGCUAAUACCGGAUAGGAGCUCCUGCUGCAUGGUGGGGGUUGGAAAGUUUCGGCGGUUGGGGAUGGACUCGCGGCUUAUCAGCUUGUUUGUGGGGUAGUGGCUUACCAAGGCUUUGACGGGUAGCCGGCCUGAGAGGGUAACCGGCCACAUUGGGACUGAGAUACGGACCAGACUCCAACGGGAGGCAGCAGUGGGGAAUAUUGCAAAAUGGGAGGAAGCAAGAAGAAACAACGCCGCGUGCGGGAUGACGGCCUUCGGGUUGUAAACAGCUUUCGCCUGUGACGAAGCGUGAGUGACGGUAAUGGGUAAAGAAGCACCGGCUAACUACGUG